RNAcentral lists this ribosomal RNA (491 nucleotides) under uncultured bacterium. RNAcentral's name for it is "SSU rRNA". It matches the Rfam family "Bacterial small subunit ribosomal RNA", at positions 26 to 523 of the family's 1533-position model. The record is from RNAcentral.
AGGACGAACGCUGGCGGCGUGCCUAACACAUGCAAGUCGAACGAGGUCCAUCCGGUAGCAAUACUGGUGAAGAUCAAGUGGCGAACGGGUGAGUAGCACGUGAGCAACCUGCCCCGAAGACCGGGACAACACCGGGAAACCGGUGCUAAUACCGGAUAUCCCCACCGAGUCGCAUGGCUUGGUGAGGAAACGUUUUUCGCUUCGGGAGGGGCUCGCGGCCUAUCAGCUUGUUGGUGAGGUAACGGCUCACCAAGGCUUCGACGGGUAGCUGGUCUGAGAGGACGAUCAGCCACACUGGGACUGAGACACGGCCCAGACUCCUACGGGAGGCAGCAGUGGGGAAUCUUGCACAAUGGGCGAAAGCCUGAUGCAGCAACGCCGCGUGAGGGACGAAGGCUUUCUGAGUUGUAAACCUCUUUCAGCAGGGACGAGUUGUGACAGUACCUGCAGAAGAACGCCCCGGCCAACUACGUGCCAGCACGCCGCGGUAA